This 76-nucleotide transfer RNA is filed under the name Acetomicrobium sp. Its description in RNAcentral is "tRNA-Glu". It matches the Rfam family "tRNA". Rfam says of the family: Transfer RNA (tRNA) molecules are approximately 80 nucleotides in length. Their secondary structure includes four short double-helical elements and three loops (D, anti-codon, and T loops). Further hydrogen bonds mediate the characteristic L-shaped molecular structure. tRNAs have two regions of fundamental functional importance: the anti-codon, which is responsible for specific mRNA codon recognition, and the 3' end, to which the tRNAs corresponding amino acid is attached (by aminoacyl-tRNA synthetases). tRNAs cope with the degeneracy of the genetic code in two manners: having more than one tRNA (with a specific anti-codon) for a particular amino acid; and 'wobble' base-pairing, i.e. permitting non-standard base-pairing at the 3rd anti-codon position. The record is from RNAcentral. Lineage: Bacteria; Thermotogati; Synergistota; Synergistia; Synergistales; Acetomicrobiaceae. RNAcentral also lists the same sequence under 2 other names.
GGUCCCAUCGUCUAGAGGUCUAGGACACCGCCCUUUCAAGGCGGCGGCACGGGUUCAAAUCCCGUUGGGACCGCCA